Molecule: long non-coding RNA, 490 nt
Filed under: Medicago truncatula (barrel medic)
Lineage: Eukaryota; Viridiplantae; Streptophyta; Magnoliopsida; Fabales; Fabaceae
Description: long non-coding RNA (MTRU_LNC002071)
Source: RNAcentral
GUUUGUGUUGUUGCUUGUUUCUUGGUGAGGAUGUUUUGGAGGCGUAGUUACAUAGUGACGGUGGUGGUGAUGCGCGGUGGUGGGGGUGGUGAUGCAUGGUGGUGGUGAAGUGUGGUGGGAGUGUUAAUGUGUGGUGGUCGUUGGUGUUUAAAGAGGAGGUGGGUGCUUGUUGGGGUGAUAUCCUUUAAAAGCAACCUCUGUUACACGGGUCCAUGUUCGUCGUCACUAGCUAUUGUUUGUGCUUUUUGGGUGGUUUAGGUGUUUGCGGAGUUUGGAGGGUGCGUGUCACGUUGUGUUGAACCUUUUCCUUUUGAUUUGUUUGUUGUUUAAACUUCGCAUGCCAUGUCUUUCGUCUUACUUAUUGUGUGCUGGUUUUCGAUGGGCCGGUUCAUUUGGCUUCGAGAUCGGAAGUCGGGGUCUAGCUGCAAUCUUUGUUUGACUUGAUUUGGUUUUUCUCUGGUGUACCGAGGGCGAGGGGUGCCCUGCUAAU